CUUGGUCAUUUAGAGGAAGUUAGGAUCAUUACACAAUAUGAAAGCGGGCUGGGACCUCACCUCGGUGAGGGCUCCAGCUUGUCUGAAUUAUUCACCCAUGUCUUUUGCGCACUUCUUGUUUCCUGGGCGGGUUCGCCCGCCACCAGGACCAAACCAUAAACCUUUUUGUAAUUGCAAUCAGCGUCAGUAAACAAUGUAAUUAUUACAACUUUCAACAACGGAUCUCUUGGUUCUGGCAUCGAUGAAGAACGCAGCGAAAUGCGAUACGUAGUGUGAAUUGCAGAAUUCAGUGAAUCAUCGAAUCUUUGAACGCACAUUGCGCCCUUUGGUAUUCCAAAGGGCAUGCCUGUUCGAGCGUCAUUUGUACCCUCAAGCUUUGCUUGGUGUUGGGCGUCUUUGUCUCUCACGAGACUCGCCUUAAAAUGAUUGGCAGCCGACCUACUGGUUUCGGAGCGCAGCACAAUUCUUGCACUUUGAAUCAGCCUUGGUUGAGCAUCCAUCAAGACCACAUUUUUUUCAACUUUUGACCUCGGAUCAGGUAGGGAUACCCGCUGAACUUAAGCAUAUCAAUAAGCGGAGGA
This 581-nucleotide ribosomal RNA is filed under the name uncultured Pleospora. RNAcentral's name for it is "eukaryotic LSU rRNA". The stretch from base 207 to 360 matches the Rfam family "5.8S ribosomal RNA". Lineage: Eukaryota; Fungi; Ascomycota; Dothideomycetes; Pleosporales; Pleosporaceae. The record is from RNAcentral.